GCUGGGAUGGCUCAGUCAGUAGAGCAUGAUACUCUUAACCUCAGGGUUGUGGGUUCAAGUCCCAUGUUGGACA
Non-coding RNA from Podarcis lilfordi (Lilford's wall lizard), 73 nucleotides. Lineage: Eukaryota; Metazoa; Chordata; Lepidosauria; Squamata; Lacertidae. The record is from the annotation of a GenBank genome assembly.